GGGUUGUAAAGUACUUUCAGCGGGGAGGAAGGUGAUAAGGUUAAUACCCUUAUCAAUUGACGUUACCCGCAGAAGAAGCACCGGCUAACUCCGUGCCAGCAGCCGCGGUAAUACGGAGGGUGCAAGCGUUAAUCGGAAUUACUGGGCGUAAAGCGCACGCAGGCGGUCAAUUAAGUCAGAUGUGAAAGCCCCGAGCUUAACUUGGGAAUUGCAUCUGAAACUGGUUGGCUAGAGUCUUGUAGAGGGGGGUAGAAUUCCACGUGGUAGCGGUGAAAUGCGUAGAGAUGUGGAGGAAUACCGGUGGCGAAGGCGGCCCCCUGGACAAAGACUGACGC
This 335-nucleotide ribosomal RNA is filed under the name Shigella sp. FC1967. RNAcentral's name for it is "bacterial SSU rRNA". It matches the Rfam family "Bacterial small subunit ribosomal RNA", at positions 420 to 746 of the family's 1533-position model. Lineage: Bacteria; Pseudomonadati; Pseudomonadota; Gammaproteobacteria; Enterobacterales; Enterobacteriaceae. The record is from RNAcentral.